Molecule: non-coding RNA, 29 nt
Filed under: Bombyx mori (domestic silkworm)
Lineage: Eukaryota; Metazoa; Arthropoda; Insecta; Lepidoptera; Bombycidae
Source: RNAcentral
UUACAAACUCGUUGUCCUUCACGGACCCU